This 73-nucleotide transfer RNA is filed under the name Camelus bactrianus (Bactrian camel). It matches the Rfam family "tRNA". From Rfam's summary of the family: Transfer RNA (tRNA) molecules are approximately 80 nucleotides in length. Their secondary structure includes four short double-helical elements and three loops (D, anti-codon, and T loops). Lineage: Eukaryota; Metazoa; Chordata; Mammalia; Artiodactyla; Camelidae. The record is from Rfam by way of RNAcentral. RNAcentral also lists the same sequence under 1 other name.
GAGGGUGUAGCUCAGUGGUAGAGCAUAUGCUUAGCAAUGCACAAGGUCCCGGGUUCAAUCCCCAGUACCGCCG